ACGAACGCUGGCGGCGUGCCUAAUACAUGCAAGUUGAGCGCUGAAGGUUGGUACUUGUACCAACUGGAUGAGCAGCGAACGGGUGAGUAACGCGUGGGGAAUCUGCCUUUGAGCGGGGGACAACAUUUGGAAACGAAUGCUAAUACCGCAUAAAAACUUUAAACACAAGUUUUAAGUUUGAAAGAUGCAAUUGCAUCACUCAAAGAUGAUCCCGCGUUGUAUUAGCUAGUUGGUGAGGUAAAGGCUCACCAAGGCGAUGAUACAUAGCCGACCUGAGAGGGUGAUCGGCCACAGUGGGACUGAGACACGCCCCAAACUCCUACGGGAGGCAGCAGUAGGGAAUCUUCGGCAAUGGACGAAAGUCUGACCGAGCAACGCCGCGUGAGUGAAGAAGGUUUUCGGAUCGUAAAACUCUGUUGGUAGAGAAGAACGUUGGUGAGAGUGGAAAGCUCAUCAAGUGACGGUAACUACCCAGAAAGGGACGGCUAACUACGUG
RNAcentral lists this ribosomal RNA (496 nucleotides) under uncultured bacterium. RNAcentral describes it as "partial 16S ribosomal RNA". It matches the Rfam family "Bacterial small subunit ribosomal RNA", at positions 29 to 507 of the family's 1533-position model. The record is from RNAcentral.